GGAGUUGGAUCAAGGGGCUCGACCGCGGGCUUCACGUCGGGCUUUGGGCCAUGCCGCACUGCGUGGCGAGGAGCUUGAAUUUCUGCAAAGUCCCCAUCUUUUGGAUUUGAGGUCUGUUGCUGCUGCUAACUCCCAUUCCUCUCUAUAUAUACAUGUGAAUUUUUUGGGGUGAAUAUUUGAAUUUAAAAUGGUGAAUGAUUGCAGGGGAGAAACUGAGACACGAUUGAUUGCUUGUGAAAUGGAGAAAAGGUUAUGUUGGGAGGUCUGCGAAAGUUUUCUAGAAAAGCUCUGG
This 292-nucleotide long non-coding RNA is filed under the name Malus domestica (apple). Its description in RNAcentral is "long non-coding RNA (MDOM_LNC017247)". The record is from RNAcentral. Lineage: Eukaryota; Viridiplantae; Streptophyta; Magnoliopsida; Rosales; Rosaceae.